GGGGGAGUGUGUUUGGAAGGAAGAGUGUGUUUGGGGGAGUGUGUUUGGAAGGAAGAGUGUGUUUGGGAGGAGUGUGUUUGGAAGGAAGAGUGUGUUUGGGGGAAGUGUGUUUGGGAGGAAGAGUGUGUUUGGGAGGAAGAGUGUGUUUGGGGGAGUGUGUUUGGGAGGAAGAGUGUGUUUGGGAGGAGUGUGUUUGGGAGGAAGAGUGUGUUUGGGGGAGAGUGUUUGGGAGGAAGAGUGUGUUUGGGAGGAGUGUGUUUGGGAGGGGGGAGAGUGUGUUUGGGAGGAGUGUGUUUGGGAGGAAGAGUGUGUUUGGGAGGGGGAGAGUGUGUUUGGGAGGAGUGUGUUUGGGAGGAAGGGUGUGUUUGGGGGGGGGGAGAGUGUGUUUGGGAGGAGUGUGUUUGGGAGGAAGAGUGUGUUUGGGAGGGGGAGAGUGUGUUUGGGAG
Oncorhynchus tshawytscha (Chinook salmon) is the source of this 446-nucleotide long non-coding RNA. NCBI's taxonomy places the organism in Eukaryota, Metazoa, Chordata, Actinopteri, Salmoniformes, Salmonidae. The record is from Ensembl.